AUCACUUCUCAGCCUUUUGGCUAAGAUCAAGGGUAGUAUCUGUUCUUAUCAGUCUAAAAACAAGCACUGAGUUGAAAGAUGAGUUCAAACACCGUUGCCUGUAUUCAAAGAACAGAGGAAAAAUACCUAAC
RNAcentral lists this small nuclear RNA (131 nucleotides) under Erinaceus europaeus (western European hedgehog). RNAcentral's name for it is "U2 spliceosomal RNA". It matches the Rfam family "U2 spliceosomal RNA". Rfam says of the family: U2 is a small nuclear RNA (snRNA) component of the spliceosome (involved in pre-mRNA splicing). Lineage: Eukaryota; Metazoa; Chordata; Mammalia; Eulipotyphla; Erinaceidae. The record is from Rfam by way of RNAcentral.